UGGUGGAGCGAUUUGUCUGGUUAAUUCCGAUAACGAACGAGACUCUGGCCUAUUAAAUAGUUCGCCGAUUCCGAUCUGUCGGCGUUAACUUCUUAGAGGGACAAGUGGCUUUUAGCCACGCGAGAUUGAACAAUAACA
This 138-nucleotide ribosomal RNA is filed under the name uncultured eukaryote. RNAcentral describes it as "partial 18S ribosomal RNA". It matches the Rfam family "Eukaryotic small subunit ribosomal RNA", at positions 1299 to 1458 of the family's 1831-position model. The record is from RNAcentral.